This 495-nucleotide ribosomal RNA is filed under the name uncultured bacterium. RNAcentral describes it as "partial 16S ribosomal RNA". It matches the Rfam family "Bacterial small subunit ribosomal RNA", at positions 28 to 507 of the family's 1533-position model. The record is from RNAcentral.
GACGAACGCUGGCGGCGUGCCUAAUACAUGCAAGUAGAACGCUGAAGGAGGAGCUUGCUCUUCUGGAUGAGUUGCGAACGGGUGAGUAACGCGUAGGUAACCUGCCUGGUAGCGGGGGAUAACUAUUGGAAACGAUAGCUAUUACCGCAAAAGAGUAGAUGUUGCAUGACAUUUCCUUAAAAGGUGCAUUUGCUUCACUACCAGAUGGCCCUGCGUUGUAUUAGCUAGUUGGUGGGGUAACGGCUCACCAAGGCGACGAUACAUAGCCGACCUGGGAGGGUGAUCGGCCACACUGGGACUGAGACACGGCCCAGACUCCUACGGGAGGCAGCAGUAGGGAAUCUUCGGCAAUGGACGGAAGUCUGACCGAGCAACGCCGCGUGAGUGAAGAAGGUUUUCGGAUCGUAAAGCUCUGUUGUAAGAGAAGAACGAGUGUGAGAGUGGAAAGUUCACACUGUGACGGUAUCUUACCAGAAAGGGACGGCUAACUACGUG